This 98-nucleotide small RNA is filed under the name Mycoplasma sp. CAG:776. Its description in RNAcentral is "Clostridioides difficile sRNA included into helicase gene". It matches the Rfam family "Clostridioides difficile sRNA included into helicase gene". Rfam says of the family: This element was identified by RNA deep sequencing of Clostridioides difficile 630 where it is located within gene CD0749 (putative DNA helicase, UvrD/REP type) in the same direction as the gene. Lineage: Bacteria; Bacillati; Mycoplasmatota; Mollicutes; Mycoplasmatales; Mycoplasmataceae. The record is from Rfam by way of RNAcentral.
UUCUUAGAGGGGGAUAGUGGAAUUGAAGAAGAAAGAAGACUUUGUUAUGUUGGUUUUACAAGAGCUAAAGAAAGACUUUAUUUAACUAAUGCUAAAAA